AGAUUGAACGCUGGCGGCAGGCCUAACACAUGCAAGUCGAGCGGAAACGAGUUAUCUGAACCUUCGGGGAACGAUAACGGCGUCGAGCGGCGGACGGGUGAGUAAUGCCUAGGAAAUUGCCCUGAUGUGGGGGAUAACCAUUGGAAACGAUGGCUAAUACCGCAUAACGCCUACGGGCCAAAGAGGGGGACCUUUGGGCCUCUCGCGUCAGGAUAUGCCUAGGUGGGAUUAGCUAGUUGGUGAGGUAAGGGCUCACCAAGGCGACGAUCCCUAGCUGGUCUGAGAGGAUGAUCAGCCACACUGGAACUGAGACACGGUCCAGACUCCUACGGGAGGCAGCAGUGGGGAAUAUUGCACAAUGGGCGCAAGCCUGAUGCAGCCAUGCCGCGUGUGUGAAGAAGGCCUUCGGGUUGUAAAGCACUUUCAGUCGUGAGGAAGGUAGUGUAGUUAAUAGCUGCAUUAUUUGACGUUAGCGACAGAAGAAGCACCGGCUAACUCCGUGCCAGCAGCCGCGGUAAUACGGAGGGUGCGAGCGUUAAUCG
Molecule: ribosomal RNA, 542 nt
Filed under: Vibrio campbellii ATCC BAA-1116
Lineage: Bacteria; Pseudomonadati; Pseudomonadota; Gammaproteobacteria; Vibrionales; Vibrionaceae
Description: SSU rRNA
Rfam family: Bacterial small subunit ribosomal RNA
Source: RNAcentral